UAACUUUACGUUGCACGCGUACAUGACUUUCCGUUUGUGCCUUGAAUAAUGAAUAAGGCUACGUCCACACGUACCAGCGUAUUUUUGAAACCGCUGAUUUUUCUAUGCGUUUGCACCUUUUGUCCACACGUAAUGUAUGUCUGGCCAUACAUUGUGUUUGUAUUUCCAGGCACAUUUCACGAAGCAGAACGCAGUCUUCAGAGAUAUCCACGUGAACGCUGUGAUACGUCUGACCUUCAGUCCGAAGAAGAAACCCAGACCAGUCUUAAAAGAAAGCACAAACCAAAUCCCCUGUACACAUAUACGGACUCAGAGGAUGAGUUUUUUUGUGGGGAAAGCCUACAAAAAAACGGUUUCCCCAGGCCCCUCGAGUGAAAAUACCAGCCCUCAUCACUCCGCAGUCUGCCCCCCAGCCCACUGAUAGCAACCAUCGUAAUGCCCCACCCAGCUUCCGGCACCUUUCGCCACUCCGGCACAAACCGACACAGCUUUGUGAUCUCGCCAGCAUGCAGAGUCUGAUGUCUUCCCUAUAGAUGAUUCCAGAGACUCUGUGAAGCCACUAUUACAAGGUGAGACGCUUUGCGUUGAUUGGUGCUGCUGGACCACACUGGAGGUGCGAGUCCGCCGUGUAAUGGUUUAUGCCAUUACAAAGGAGCUGGCCUCUGUACUCAACUGGACAGGGGAAAAAAAACCAAGGACCAGACAAAGCAAAAAAGGGCAUUUAAAGAGACAGCGCCGUGCAGAUGCAUAUUUGAUGGCCUGGCGCAGCAGGUAGGGGCGAACUCUAUGUCUGAGUUGGUCUUUGCUCAAGCAGUCCAGAAAUGGCUCAGAUAUGCUCCAGAUCGUACGGGUGGCGCGCAGGACGCACAUCAUCCAUCCCCAUCCCGGAGUAAAUAAUAAAAAGUGACGUGAAACAUAGAAAUGUAAAUAGGAAACUUUGUCUUUUAAUAAAGUAUUUUGCAAAUGAUACAUGUCUAUUGACCUUUUUUGGUUUUUUGUUUUUUUCAAUAAAAAGCAACUGUGCGAAAGAGGUGGAAAAUCAACACCAUAUCUCAACAGUGUUUCAAUAUCAGAAUCUGACAUUGUUUCAAUGUCAACAGUGUUAGAAAAUAUAACGUCGAAUCAAUGUCAGGUUUCAACACUGAUUCAACAUCAAAACCUGACGUUGUUUCAACGUUAAAAAUGGGUGCAAGAGUGAUGUUGGGUCAA
Pelmatolapia mariae (spotted tilapia) is the source of this 1209-nucleotide long non-coding RNA. RefSeq lists it as uncharacterized. NCBI's taxonomy places the organism in Eukaryota, Metazoa, Chordata, Actinopteri, Cichliformes, Cichlidae. The record is from RefSeq and is a predicted model, not a curated record. The transcript has 6 exons.